GAUGAACGCUGGCGGCGUGCCUAAUACAUGCAAGUCGAGCGAACAGACGAGGAGCUUGCUCCUCUGACGUUAGCGGCGGACGGGUGAGUAACACGUGGAUAACCUACCUAUAAGACUGGGAUAACUUAGGGAAACCGGAACUGAUACCGGAUAAUAUAUUGAAGCGCAUGGUUCAAUAGUGAAAGAGGGUUUUGCUGUCACUUCUACAUGGAUCCGCGCUGCAUUAGUUAGUUGGUAAGGUAGCGGCUUACCAAGGCAACGAUGCGUAGCCGACCUGAGAGGGUGAUCGGCCACACUGGAACUGAGACACGGUCCAGACUCCUACGGGCGGCAGCAGUAGGGACUCUUGCGCAAUGGGCGAAAGCCUGACGGAGCAGCGCCGCGUGAGUGAUGAAGGUCUUCGGAUCGUAAAACUCUGUUAGUAGGGAAGAACAAAUGUGUAAGUAACUAUGCACGUCUUGACGGUACCUAAUCAGAAAGCCACGGCUAACUACGUG
This 497-nucleotide ribosomal RNA is filed under the name uncultured bacterium. RNAcentral describes it as "partial 16S ribosomal RNA". It matches the Rfam family "Bacterial small subunit ribosomal RNA", at positions 28 to 507 of the family's 1533-position model. The record is from RNAcentral.